This 3801-nucleotide long non-coding RNA is filed under the name Oncorhynchus mykiss (rainbow trout). RNAcentral's name for it is "lncRNA (ENSOMYG00000056011.1)". Lineage: Eukaryota; Metazoa; Chordata; Actinopteri; Salmoniformes; Salmonidae. The record is from RNAcentral.
AUGUACCCCUGGACUUCAUAUUUAUCUCAGUCUGUACAGCCUGAAUCCCAAAUGUCACCCGUCUCCUCCUCCCUCCCCUCUCUCUCUCCCCCUCCCUCCUCUGUCUCUUUUGUCUCUCCCUCCCCUCUCUUUUGUCUCUCCCUCUACCGUCUCUUUUGUCUCUCCCUCCCCUCUCUUUUGUCUCUCCCUCCACUCUCUUUUGUCUCUCCCUCUCCUCUCUUUUGUCUCUCCCUCCCCUCUCUUUUGUCUCUCCCUCCCUUGUCUCUUUUGUCUCUCCCUCCCAUGUCUCUUUUGUCUCUCCCUUCCCUCUCUUUUGUCUCUCCCUCUCCUCUCUUUUGUCUCUCCCUCCCAUGUCUCUUUUGUCUCUCCCUCCCCUCUCUUUUGUCUCUCCCUCCCAUGUCUCUUUUGUCUCUCCCUCCCCUCUCUUUUAUCUCUCCCUCUCCUCUCUUUUGUCUCUCCCUCUCCUCUCUUUUGUCUCUCCCUCCCCUCUCUUUUGUCUCUCCCUUCCCUCUCUUUUGUCUCUCCCUCCCCUCUCUUUUGUCUCUCCCUCUACCGUCUCUUUUGUCUCUCCCUCCCCUCUCUUUUGUCUCUCCCUCCACUCUCUUUUGUCUCUCCCUCUCCUCUCUUUUGUCUCUCCCUCCCCUCUCUUUUGUCUCUCCCUCCCUUGUCUCUUUUGUCUCUCCCUCCCAUGUCUCUUUUGUCUCUCCCUUCCCUCUCUUUUGUCUCUCCCUCUCCUCUCUUUUGUCUCUCCCUCCCAUGUCUCUUUUGUCUCUCCCUCCCCUCUCUUUUGUCUCUCCCUCCCAUGUCUCUUUUGUCUCUCCCUCCCCUCUCUUUUAUCUCUCCCUCUCCUCUCUUUUGUCUCUCCCUCUCCUCUCUUUUGUCUCUCCCUCCCCUCUCUUUUGUCUCUCCCUUCCCUCUCUUUUGUCUCUCCCUCCCCUCUCUUUUGUCUCUCCCUCCCAUGUCUCUUUUGUCUCUCCCUCCCCUCUCUUUUGUCUGUCCCUCCCCUCUCUUUUGUCUGUCCCUCCCCUCUCUUUUGUCUGUCCCUCCCCUCUCUUUUGUCUCUCCCUCCCCUGUCUCUUUUGUCUCUCCAUCCCCUCUCUUUCAUCUCCCCUUCCCUCCCCCGUCUCUUUCGUCUCCUCCUCCUUCUCCUGUCUCUUUUGUCUCCUCUUCCCUCUCCCCUGUCUCUUUCGUCUCCUCCUCCCUCUCACAUCUCUUUCGUCUUCUCCUCCCUCUCUCCCGUCUCUUUCGUCUCCUCCUCCCUCUCCCGUCUCUUUUGUCUCCUCCUCCCCCUCCCCUGUCUCUUUCGUCUCCUCCUCCCUCUCCCCUGUCUCUUUCGUCUCCUCCUCCCUCUCCGUCUCUUGUCUCCUCCUCCCUCUCCCCUGUCUCUUUCGUCUCCUCCUGCCUCUCCUGUCUCUUUCGUCUCCUCCUCCCUCUCACGUCUCUUUCGUCUCCUCCUCCCUCUCGCGUCUCUUUCGUCUCCUCCUCCCUCUCGCGUCUCUUUUGUCUCCUCCUCCCUCUCCCCUGUCUCUUUCGUCUCCUCCUCCCUCUCCCCUGUCUCUUUCGUCUCCUCCUCCCUCUCCCGUCUCUUGUCUCCUCCUCCCUCUCCCCUGUCUCUUUCGUCUCCUCCUCCCUCUCCCCUGUCUCUUUGGUCUCCUCCUCCCUCUCCCGUCUCUUUUGUCUCCUCCUCCCUCUCCCCUGUCUCUUUUGUCUCCUCCUCCCUCUCCCGUCUCUUUCGUGUCCUCCUCCCUCUCGCGUCUCUUUUGUCUCCUCCUCCCUCUCCCCUGUCUCUUUCGUCUCCUCCUCCCUCUCCCCUGUCUCUUUUGUCUCCUCCUCCCUCUCCCCUGUCUCUUUUGUCUCCUCCUCCCUCUCCCCUGUCUCUUUUGUCUCCUCCUCCCUCUCCCCUGUCUCCUCCUCCCUCUCCCCUGUCUCUUGUCUCCUCCUCCCUCUCCCCUGUCUCUUUUGUCUCCUCCUCCCUCUCCCCUUUCUCCUCCUCCCUCUCCCCCGUCUCUUUCGUCUCCUCCUCCCUCUCCCCCGUCUCUUUCGUCUCCUCCUCCCUCUCCCCCGUCUCUUUCGUCUCCUCCUCCCUCCCCCGUCUCUUUCGUCUCCUCCUCCCUCUCCCGUCUCUUUCGUCUCCUCCUCCCUCUCCCGUCUCUUUCGUCUCCUCCUCCCUCUCCCGUCUCUUUCGUCUCCUCCUCCCUCUCCCGUCUCUUUCAUCUCCUCCUCCCUCUCCCCUGUCUCCUCCUCCCUCUCCCCUGUCUCUUUCGUCUCCUCCUCCCUCUCCCGUCUCCCCUGUCUCCUCCUCCCUCUCCCCUGUCUGUUUCAUCUCCUCCUCCCUCUCCCGUCUCUUUCGUCUCCUCCUCCCUCUCCCCUGUCUCUUUCGUCUCCUCCUGCCUCUCCCCUGUCUCUUUCGUCUCCUCCUCCCUCGCCCCUGUUUCUUUCGUCUCCUCCUCCCUCUCCCCUGUCUCUUUCGUCUCCUCCUCCCUCUCCCGUCUCUUUCGUCUCCUCCUCCCUCUCCCGUCUCUUUCGUCUCCUCCUCCCUCUCCCGUCUCUUUCGUCUCCUCCUCCCUCUCCCGUCUCCUUCGUCUCCUCCUCCCUCUCCCCUGUCUCUUUCGUCUCCUCCUCCUUCUCCCCUGUCUCUUUCGUCUCCUCCUCCCUCUCCCGUCUCUUCCGUCUCCUCCUCCCUCUCCCGUCUCUUUCGUCUCCUCCUCCCUCUCCCGUCUCCUUCGUCUCCUCCUCCCUCUCCCGUCUCCUUCGUCUCCUCCUCCCUCUCCCCCGUCUCUUUCGUCUCCUCCUCCCGUCUCUUUCGUCUCCUCCUCCCUCUCCCGUCUCUUUCGUCUCCUCCUCCCUCUCCCGUCUCUUUCGUCUCCUCCUCCCUCUCCCGUCUCUUUCGUCUCCUCCUCCCUCUCCCCUGUCUCCUCCUCCCUCUCCCCUGUCUCUUUCGUCUCCUCCUCCCUCUCCCCUGUCUCUUUCGUCUCCUCCUGCCUCUCCCCUGUCUCUUUCGUCUCCUCCUCCCUCUCCCGUCUCUUUCGUCUCCUCCUCCCUCUCCCGUCUCUUUCGUCUCCUCCUCCCUCUCCCGUCUCUUUCGUCUCCUCCUCCCUCUCCCGUCUCUUUCGUCUCCUCCUCCCUCUCCCGUCUCUUUCGUCUCCUCCUCCCUCUCCCGUCUCUUUCGUCUCCUCCUCCCUCUCCCGUCUCUUUCGUCUCCUCCUCCCUCUCCCGUCUCCUUCGUCUCCUCCUCCCUCUCCCGUCUCCUUCGUCUCCUCCUCCCUCUCCCCCGUCUCUUUCGUCUCCUCCUCCCGUCUCUUUCGUCUCCUCCUCCCUCUCCCGUCUCUUUCGUCUCCUCCUCCCUCUCCCGUCUCUUUCGUCUCCUCCUCCCUCUCCCGUCUCUUUCGUCUCCUCCUCCCUCUCCCCUGUCUCUUUCGUCUCCUCCUCCCUCUCCCGUCUCUUUCGUCUCCUCCUCCCUCUCCCGUCUCUUUCGUCUCCUCCUCCCUCUCCCGUCUCUUUCGUCUCCUCCUCCCUCUCCCGUCUCUUUCGUCUCCUCCUCCCUCUCCCGUCUCUUUCGUCUCCUCCUCCCUCUCCCGUCUCCUUCGUCUCCUCCUCCCUCUCCCGUCUCCUUCGUCUCCUCAUUCCUCUCCCGUCUCCCCUGUCUCCUCCUCCCUCUCCCCUGUCUCUUUCGUCUCCUCCUCCCUCUCCCGUCUCUCUCGUCUCCCCCUCCCCCAGUCUUCCUGUGGUGAGACCACAGCAAGCCUCUCUGUCAACGCCGGGAAGGACUACACCCUUAUUGAACCCUUUUCCCAUACCUGA